RNAcentral lists this ribosomal RNA (254 nucleotides) under uncultured bacterium. RNAcentral describes it as "partial 16S ribosomal RNA". It matches the Rfam family "Bacterial small subunit ribosomal RNA", at positions 524 to 776 of the family's 1533-position model. The record is from RNAcentral.
UACGAGGGGAGCAAGCGUUGUUCGGAUUUACUGGGCGUAAAGGGCGCGUAGGCGGUCGUGACAAGUCACUUGUGAAAUCUCCGGGCUUAACCCGGAGCGGCCAAGUGAUACUGUCGUGCUAGAGUGCGGAAGGGGCUACUGGAAUUCUCGGUGUAGCGGUGAAAUGCGUAGAUAUCGAGAGGAACACCUGCGGCGAAGGCGGGUAGCUGGGCCGACACUGACGCUGAGGCGCGAAAGCCAGGGGAGCGAACGGG